Molecule: ribosomal RNA, 275 nt
Filed under: uncultured bacterium
Lineage: Bacteria
Description: partial 16S ribosomal RNA
Rfam family: Bacterial small subunit ribosomal RNA
Source: RNAcentral
CUAAGUUUGAUGGCGACCGGCGCACGGGUGAGUAACACGUAUCCAACCUGCCGAUGACUCGGGGAUAGCCUUUCGAAAGAAAGAUUAAUACCCGAUGGCAUAGUUCUUCCGCAUGGUGGAACUAUUAAAGAAUUUCGGUCAUCGAUGGGGAUGCGUUCCAUUAGUUUGUUGGCGGGGUAACGGCCCACCAAGACUACGAUGGAUAGGGGUUCUGAGAGGAAGGUCCCCCACAUUGGAACUGAGACACGGUCCAAACUCCUACGGGAGGCAGCAUG